AACACAGUCUGUGCUGGUAUCUGUC
Molecule: non-coding RNA, 25 nt
Filed under: Rattus norvegicus (Norway rat)
Lineage: Eukaryota; Metazoa; Chordata; Mammalia; Rodentia; Muridae
Source: RNAcentral